UAUUAUUAUUUAUAUACUGUGCUUCUCUAGACCAUUCACUUGCAAAAUGUUCCACUCAAAGUGGAACAAACUUAGUAAGACCUCCCCACAUUGAAAUCUCAAAGUCAAACCAUCAACACAACCUUUUUUGAUUGAACUCAGACUUCAUAUUUUUAAUUAAAUAAUAUUAUUAGACGCUGUUAUGGAUUCUGGUGCAAGUAUAUGCCCUAUUUAUGAACUACUGGCUGUGAAGCUUUUUAUUCCUACCCAACCUAAAUAAAUCAUAAAUAACAUUGUACUAUAAGUAAUUUGAUUUGUGUCAAAGAAAAAAAAUAUUUAUUCAAAAGAUGUUUGGGUUUUAACAACAUCUACCAAUACCUGGUAAUCCUUGUGAAUUUAUUUCUAUGGAUCCCAUCAUUGAAUUACCACCCUCAGAAGGAAAUUCUACUAUUCUACUAUUUUAGAAUAGCAGACUGAAAAUAAUGUCCCAUUUAAAGCCUUGCCAUCCAAUUCUGAUGCUGCUACCACUGCCAAAGAUUUGUGUCCAACUACUGUAUUUUAGAAUUCAUGGUAUUCCCAAAGAAAUCAAGACAUUAGAGGUAUCAAAUUGAACUAAAAAUUUUAGUAAGCUCUUUAUAAUUCCCUCCUAAUUGAUCAUAACAUUCUCUCUGUUUUCCAUCCACCGUCUAAUGGGCACACAGAAAGAAUCUUGAAAGUAUUUCAAAUUCUAUUGUUGUUAUUUCCAAGAUAAUUGUAAUAGUCUAUUACCCUUGACUGAGUUUUCUUAUAAUAAUUUAAUUUAUUCAUGACUCAAAGUAAUUUUUUUUCUCAAUUUGGAAGUAGCACCCCGAAUUUUUUAAAACAUACAUAACAAAGUACAUGGGUCCAGUCCUUUUUCAAACAAACCAGGAUAAUUUAUCCUUAUGUAAGAAAAGUUUAAAACAUAGCCAAAAACAGUAUAGAACUAAUUUACAUUGAAAACCCAGUUCCAAAUAUAAAGUGGGAGAAGCUACAAGGAACACACAAUUUUCUUGUCCCUCUAAAACAGGUUGUUGUGCCGGUAGUUACCAUCACCUGGACCUUCAGACAGACUAUUUAUGUAGGUUGCAGACUUUUCUUAUGUUUUAGUCACCCUGUACCCAUUGUAGGUGCAAGAUGCGUGUAAUGUAACUGUUUAGUGUUAAAUGUUAGUGUGCUCUCCUGUAUUACUAAUGCUUGCAAUCAACUAGGUGGAUUGGGCUGUGGAGCCUGUACAGUGCCACUUGUUGGUUGCAAGGAUCUAGCAACCGC
Pelobates cultripes (western spadefoot toad) is the source of this 1269-nucleotide non-coding RNA. The record is from the annotation of a GenBank genome assembly. Lineage: Eukaryota; Metazoa; Chordata; Amphibia; Anura; Pelobatidae.